GCCCUCGUAGCUCAGUGGAUAGAGCGGCGGACUCCUAAGCCGCGCGUCGGAGGUUCGAUUCCUCUCGGGGGCACCA
RNAcentral lists this transfer RNA (76 nucleotides) under Microbacterium protaetiae. RNAcentral's name for it is "tRNA-Arg". It matches the Rfam family "tRNA". Rfam says of the family: Transfer RNA (tRNA) molecules are approximately 80 nucleotides in length. Lineage: Bacteria; Bacillati; Actinomycetota; Actinomycetes; Micrococcales; Microbacteriaceae. The record is from RNAcentral. RNAcentral also lists the same sequence under 2 other names.